UACGGAGGGUGCUAGCGUUGUUCGGAAUUACUGGGCGUAAAGCGCGUGUAGGCGGGAAGAGAAGUCGGGUGUGAAAGCCCUGGGCUUAACCCAGGAAGUGCGCCCGAAACCAUCUUUCUUGAGGUCCGGAGGGGAUCGGGGAAUUCCCAGUGUAGAGGUGAAAUUCGUAGAUAUUGGGAAGAACACCGGUGGCGAAAGCGCCGAUCUGGACGGACUCUGACGCUAAGACGCGAAAGCGUGGGUAGCAAACAGG
This 253-nucleotide unclassified non-coding RNA is filed under the name uncultured delta proteobacterium. Its description in RNAcentral is "contains 16S-23S intergenic spacer region". It matches the Rfam family "Bacterial small subunit ribosomal RNA", at positions 524 to 776 of the family's 1533-position model. Lineage: Bacteria; Deltaproteobacteria. The record is from RNAcentral.